AAGUGAUAACAGUUUUUUAAUAAACAUAAACUAAAUUAUUUAGUUUUUAGCAAAAAUUUUCUAAUUUUUUCAAAUACUUUAUAUACCUUGAACACCCUUAAAAACUUCAGUUUAUUUCUGUAACACAAAUCUAUUCACCAUGAAAACCUUUUUUGCUAUUGUUGCUGUAGCCAUCAUGAAUGUUUUGGCCUUUGCUUCGGCUGAACCCGUUUUGGAAGCCUUGGCUCCUGUAACUGGACUUGUAGGUGGUUUAACUGGCAAGAAAUAAUUAAGGAUCGCAAUAGCAUGAAAAUUAUGAAAAAGUUUUUUUAAUGUAUUUUUUUUUUCUUUAAACUAAAAUGUAAUUAAAAUAUAAAGAUUAUGAAAAGUUA
This is a long non-coding RNA of Lucilia sericata (common green bottle fly), 371 nucleotides long. RefSeq lists it as uncharacterized. The transcript has 2 exons. Lineage: Eukaryota; Metazoa; Arthropoda; Insecta; Diptera; Calliphoridae. The record is from RefSeq and is a predicted model, not a curated record.